GAUGAACUCUGGCGGCGUGCCUAAUACAUGCAAGUCGAGCGAACGGACGAGAAGCUUGCUUCUCUGAUGUUAGCGGCGGACGGGUGAGUAACACGUGGAUAACCUACCUAUAAGACUGGGAUAACUUCGGGAAACCGGAGCUAAUACCGGAUAAUAUUUUGAACCGCAUGGUUCAAAAGUGAAAGACGGUCUUGCUGUCACUUAUAGAUGGAUCCGCGCUGCAUUAGCUAGUUGGUAAGGUAACGGCUUACCAAGGCAACGAUGCAUAGCCGACCUGAGAGGGUGAUCGGCCACACUGGAACUGAGACACGGUCCAGACUCCUACGGGAGGCAGCAGUAGGGAAUCUUCCGCAAUGGGCGAAAGCCUGACGGAGCAACGCCGCGUGAGUGAUGAAGGUCUUCGGAUCGUAAAACUCUGUUAUUAGGGAAGAACAUAUGUGUAAGUAACUGUGCACAUCUUGACGGUACCUAAUCAGAAAGCCACGGCUAACUACGUGCCAGCAGCCGCGGUAAUACGUAGGUGGCAAGCGUUAUCCGGAAUUAUUGGGCGUAAAGCGCGCGUAGGCGGUUUUUUAAGUCUGAUGUGAAAGCCCACGGCUCAACCGUGGAGGGUCAUUGGAAACUGGAAAACUUGAGUGCAGAAGAGGAAAGUGGAAUUCCAUGUGUAGCGGUGAAAUGCGCAGAGAUAUGGAGGAACACCAGUGGCGAAGGCGACUUUCUGGUCUGUAACUGACGCUGAUGUGCGAAAGCGUGGGGAUCAAACAGGAUUAGAUACCCUGGUAGUCCACGCCGUAAACGAUGAGUGCUAAGUGUUAGGGGGUUUCCGCCCCUUAGUGCUGCAGCUAACGCAUUAAGCACUCCGCCUGGGGAGUACGACCGCAAGGUUGAAACUCAAAGGAAUUGACGGGGACCCGCACAAGCGGUGGAGCAUGUGGUUUAAUUCGAAGCAACGCGAAGAACCUUACCAAAUCUUGACAUCCUUUGACAACUCUAGAGAUAGAGCCUUCCCCUUCGGGGGACAAAGUGACAGGUGGUGCAUGGUUGUCGUCAGCUCGUGUCGUGAGAUGUUGGGUUAAGUCCCGCAACGAGCGCAACCCUUAAGCUUAGUUGCCAUCAUUAAGUUGGGCACUCUAAGUUGACUGCCGGUGACAAACCGGAGGAAGGUGGGGAUGACGUCAAAUCAUCAUGCCCCUUAUGAUUUGGGCUACACACGUGCUACAAUGGACAAUACAAAGGGCAGCGAAACCGCGAGGUCAAGCAAAUCCCAUAAAGUUGUUCUCAGUUCGGAUUGUAGUCUGCAACUCGACUACAUGAAGCUGGAAUCGCUAGUAAUCGUAGAUCAGCAUGCUACGGUGAAUACGUUCCCGGGCCU
Molecule: ribosomal RNA, 1372 nt
Filed under: uncultured bacterium
Lineage: Bacteria
Description: bacterial SSU rRNA
Rfam family: Bacterial small subunit ribosomal RNA
Source: RNAcentral